Molecule: long non-coding RNA, 357 nt
Filed under: Oryza sativa tropical japonica subgroup
Lineage: Eukaryota; Viridiplantae; Streptophyta; Magnoliopsida; Poales; Poaceae
Also listed under: 1 other name
Description: lncRNA OsKeNa_03g0018640
Source: RNAcentral
GUUUUACUCUUAUCCAAUCCCACUCUUUUUUUUCUCUCUUCCAGAUCCUUCGUUAUCCUCCUCUUCCGCCUCUCCUUCUUCGCCCCUCCUUUUCCUCUCCCCCUCCUCUCCACAAAAGAGCUUCUAUGCAGGCAUGGUGAUGAUAGAGCAGCCCCAAAAAUAAAUCUAGAGUACUAUGCCCUCCUCACUGCUAGAUCCAGGGCGAGUGGGCAACACCAAUCUCAUGGCCACCUCCUCCGUCUCAUCUCUCAUGGCGGCGGGGGCAACUUGGAAGAAACAAGGUCAUCAGGAACUGGGAGGAUAAGGCCCAACGUGUGCUCCUCAACCUCCUCCUUCAACGUGCGUUGUCGAUGGUGA